Malus domestica (apple) is the source of this 1436-nucleotide long non-coding RNA. RefSeq lists it as uncharacterized. NCBI's taxonomy places the organism in Eukaryota, Viridiplantae, Streptophyta, Magnoliopsida, Rosales, Rosaceae. The record is from RefSeq and is a predicted model, not a curated record.
CUGGUAGUUCUCGUUUAGUUUGAGUUUUCAAACUGCACAGCAGUUCCCGUUCAGUUUUCAAACUCCCACGCCCUUUCAUCAUAACUUCAUAACUUCUCUACUCCAUUUGUUCGGUUACAAAAUUUUGAUCUCUCUUCUUCGCCCAAGCUCCUCUCUCAAUUCGAGCACUCAUUCUGUCUUUCUCUCUUGUUCUAACUCAGCCACCGCCGCUGGUUCGGAACCACCACCACCACCGCCGGUUCAUAUGGUUUUAUAAUUUUAUAGUGUCAUUGUUUAUCACUUCCCUCGCCUUAAUUUCUUGAUUGUUUCUUCUUUGCUUUUUCGUCCAUUUUUGGUUUUUAACACAUUUUGUUAUUGUGAACAGUUAUUGGAUGAAUUGUAGACCCGGACCUUUGUGUCGAUAAGAACAAAAAACCUGUUUGUGGUUUUAGAUUUAGAGAAGAAGAGACGGAAAUUUUCACUGGGUAUGUUUUUUCUUUCAUCAACUCCUCUACAAAUUGUUGAGUUCUUGAAUGACUUCCAUUAUUGCUUUACAGAUUUACGAAGAAGGAUUGGACUUUGAAAAAUCACUUCAAGCUCGGAAAAUUUUGUGGUGAUACUAUUCGGUUGGUUCUAAAAAGUUUUCUCCAUCACAAAAAGGGUUCAAUUACAGAUGGGUUAGUUUUGUCUGUUUUUCCAAUCGUUAUGUUGAGGGAAAAUGUAUAACUGAACAAUAUUUCCAUUUUUCAACCUUGCUAGCCUUUUUAAUCAUUCCAUGACCUUUUCGGUUUGCUUUGUGUGCAACAUUGGAGAAAUAUCAGCUAAUUUUAGAAUUGAAUGGAUGUGAUGUCCUUGCUAUUUACUAAUGCCAUUUGUUUCUCUUUUAAGUUUUUUUUUUUAUUUUUUUUAUUUUUUGAGGGACUUUAAGUUAAUUCUUUUGGAAUACUACUUUUUGGUGUUUAUUUUCUUGAGUUGCAUGAUUGGAAGAAAUUGCGAUUCUUCUCUCUAAGAAAGGAUGUCAAUAACACUUAUAACUGCCCAUCUCCAUCGACCUUCUUCAAAUUUUGAUCACAAGAAAGGAGCAUCUGAGUUGGUGGAGAGACGCUUUGAUGGGUCGGCGUUUGUCAAGUACGACGACGCUGAAUGCGUUAUUUUAUAGGCAUGAUUGUUAUUCAACCGGUUGUUGAAUUUGUUCUUCAAUUGAUACCUAUUUGAAGAACUUCCUUCUGCUGUGUAGGGACGACGAACUGAAGUGAAGGGCCUCAAAUAACAGAGCUUGGUGUGCUAUUGAUGUAUCUUUAUCCUCUAACCUUACAACAUGUGGUACUUACGAAAUAUUUGACAUGGAUUUUCAUUAUUGAGAUCACUUUCGCGUUGCUUAACUGUCAUGGUGAUUUUUUUUCUUCUAAUGUUAUCUUUUCUUUUAUAAAUAAAUUAUCAUGUUCAUUUUUGUUUUA